RNAcentral lists this long non-coding RNA (218 nucleotides) under Linum usitatissimum (flax). RNAcentral's name for it is "long non-coding RNA (LUSI_LNC004977)". Lineage: Eukaryota; Viridiplantae; Streptophyta; Magnoliopsida; Malpighiales; Linaceae. The record is from RNAcentral.
GACUAUGCAAACUAGAGUGAUAAUGACAGUUAGGAUAGCUUUUGAGUGACAACAAACUGAAUAAAUAGGGUUUGUCUUUGGAUUUUGACAUGUACGAAACAUUAACUAUUAGACAUGAUGGACAUCAUAAAAAAAUAAAAUUACGACACUUGAAAUUAUAACGUAAUUUCUGAUUAGAAUCAUCGAUUAAUCUACGGGGAAAAAUAUAUUAUUAUAAA